Molecule: ribosomal RNA, 522 nt
Filed under: uncultured Glomus
Lineage: Eukaryota; Fungi; Glomeromycota; Glomeromycetes; Glomerales; Glomeraceae
Description: SSU rRNA
Rfam family: Eukaryotic small subunit ribosomal RNA
Source: RNAcentral
AGCAGCCGCGGUAAUUCCAGCUCCAAUAGCGUAUAUUAAAGUUGUUGCAGUUAAAAAGCUCGUAGUUGAAUUUCGGGGUCAGCAGGUUGGUCGUGCCACUGGUAUGCACUGACCUCGCUGAUUCCUCCCUCUUGUAGAACCGUAAUGCCAUUAAGUUGGUGUUGCGGGGAAACAGGACUGUUACUUUGAAAAAAUUAGAGUGUUUAAAGCAGGCUAACGCUUGAAUACAUUAGCAUGGAAUAAUGAAAUAGGACGAUCGAUCCUAUUUUGUUGGUUUCUAGGGUUGACGUAAUGAUUAAUAGGGAUAGUUGGGGGCAUUAGUAUUCAAUUGUCAGAGGUGAAAUUCUUGAAUUUAUUGAAGACUAACUACUGCGAAAGCAUUUGCCAAGGAUGUUUUCAUUAAUCAAGAGCGAAAGUUAGGGGAUCGAAGACGAUCAGAUACCGUCGUAGUCUUAACCAUAAACUAUGCCGACUAGGGAUCGGAUGAUGUUAAUUUUUUAAUGACUCAUUCGGCGCCUUACG